GUACAUGUACAAUACUACUAUUCCUGCCCGGGCAGUCCGAGUUAUGAAGACUGUCAAAGUAAUCUUACACGGCAGGAGGUCCCAGAAGACUACGCCUGUGUGCAAUAUUAUAUGAGAUUCGACAAUGGAUCAAUGAAAAUGGAUCAGGUUUAUAAAGGGGGCACAUCUAAACGUGUCUGUGAACAGAUCAACAAAGGAAACAUCCGAAACUUGUCACAAUCCUUUCUUUGAAUGUAAAGCAAAGUGCUGCUAUGAAGAUGACUGCAACAAAGGAAAUAUUCUAGACACGAGUGGUCAAUUUUCCAGCUCCAGGAAAGCAGUUUUUACCAGUGAUGGUGUGGUGGCCAUGGGGUUGUUUUUGUUGUUUUUUCCUUUAAUGUUAUCUACUAGUCAGAGAACGUUUUGAUGAUUCUUGUAGUUAACCGUGUGUGUCAUCAGGCGCUUAAUCUUAAUGUGCGGACAGUUUUGAGGAUGAAGUUUUGAUGGGGUCCUUAUGCAAACCCCGAAGCAAACCUGUUUUUACUUUGAUUUCUCAUUGGUCAUUGAUGAUGCGAACCUAUAUUAUUUAUUUUCUACAGCCAAACUGCUCUGGACAAAAACUCUCGUGAAGUCGUCUUCUUUUACUUCUGAAUUUUUACUUCUCACAAGAUUUUCAUGUUGAUUUAUUAGAUAGGUGUUUUAAAUAAUUGAAGGUCAAAAUAUAUACCAAAACCCGCCCAUAUUAGCCAAUGGUAUUUACUGUACUGUGUAGUGCUAUCAUGAAAAAACUGUGAACGUUUUCUUCAAUAAAAUGUCAUUACUUGAGUAUGA
Molecule: long non-coding RNA, 810 nt
Organism: Stylophora pistillata
Lineage: Eukaryota; Metazoa; Cnidaria; Anthozoa; Scleractinia; Pocilloporidae
Source: RefSeq, a predicted model, not a curated record